ACAGACAUGAAUUGUGCAUUCUAAGGAACACCUGAUAAUUUGUAAUGGAAAAAUGUCCUUGGAACCAAAAUUCGUCCUCAUUUUAAUACUUUUUUGGCUGUUUUUACUGGAAAAAGUGAAUCCUGAGGUUUCGAAAUGUUUUAUUUGUGACGAAGAUUUACCUGCUAUCGUUCCCGAAGAUUCCAGGGUGGCAAGGUUCCCGCAGUUAAACUCUAUCCGUUCCUCUGAGCCGAUGCUGGCUGAUUUUGGGUUCUUGAGUUUCAACCAAAUAGUGUCGGAGAUGUUCUGUGGGAGCCAGUGCGUGUUCCACCCAGAGUGCAAGUCAUUCAACUACAACCUCGCAGUGAAGCAGUGCAACCUACUGGCUACAGAUAUUCUUUUGAAGAAUAUAUCCUCUUCUGAUUACGCUGAUGAAGAUGGGGUGUGGUUGCACCAGAGUGUCGGUCCCCUACCCCGAGGAUGUCCCAACACCUCUGCAGUCUUAUCUGACUGUGUGCAUUUCUGGG
Long non-coding RNA from Symsagittifera roscoffensis, 506 nucleotides. RefSeq lists it as uncharacterized. The transcript is spliced from 3 exons. The record is from RefSeq and is a predicted model, not a curated record. NCBI's taxonomy places the organism in Eukaryota, Metazoa, Xenacoelomorpha, Acoela, Convolutidae.